This 72-nucleotide transfer RNA is filed under the name Cavia porcellus (domestic guinea pig). It matches the Rfam family "tRNA". Rfam says of the family: Transfer RNA (tRNA) molecules are approximately 80 nucleotides in length. Their secondary structure includes four short double-helical elements and three loops (D, anti-codon, and T loops). Lineage: Eukaryota; Metazoa; Chordata; Mammalia; Rodentia; Caviidae. The record is from Rfam by way of RNAcentral.
GGGGAUAUCGCUCAGUGGCACAGCAUCUGCCUGGCAAGCGCAAAAUCCUGAGUUCAAUUCCUGAUACUCCCA